UUGAACGCUGGCGGCAGGCUUAACACAUGCAAGUCGAGCGGGGGAAGGUAGCUUGCUACCGGACCUAGCGGCGGACGGGUGAGUAAUGCUUAGGAAUCUGCCUAUUAGUGGGGGACGACAUCUCGAAAGGGAUGCUAAUACCGCAUACGUCCUACGGGAGAAAGCAGGGGAUCUUCGGACCUUGCGCUAAUAGAUGAGCCUAAGUCGGAUUAGCUAGUUGGUGGGGUAAAGGCCUACCAAGGCGACGAUCUGUAGCGGGUCUGAGAGGAUGAUCCGCCACACUGGGACUGAGACACGGCCCAGACUCCUACGGGAGGCAGCAGUGGGGAAUAUUGGACAAUGGGGGGAACCCUGAUCCAGCCAUGCCGCGUGUGUGAAGAAGGCCUUAUGGUUGUAAAGCACUUUAAGCGAGGAGGAGGCUACUUUAGUUAAUACCUAGAGAUAGUGGACGUUACUCGCAGAAUAAGCACCGGCUAACUCUGUGCCAGCAGCCGCGGUAAUACAGAGGGUGCGAGCGUUAAUCGGAUUUACUGGGCGUAAAGCGUGCGUAGGCGGCUUAU
Molecule: ribosomal RNA, 560 nt
Filed under: Acinetobacter baumannii OIFC109
Lineage: Bacteria; Pseudomonadati; Pseudomonadota; Gammaproteobacteria; Moraxellales; Moraxellaceae
Description: bacterial SSU rRNA
Rfam family: Bacterial small subunit ribosomal RNA
Source: RNAcentral